GACGAACGCUGGCGGCGUGCCUAAUACAUGCAAGUAGAACGCUGAAGAGAGGAGCUUGCUCUUCUUGGAUGAGUUGCGAACGGGUGAGUAACGCGUAGGUAACCUGCCUUGUAGCGGGGGAUAACUAUUGGAAACGAUAGCUAAUACCGCAUAACAAUAGGUGACACAUGUCAUUUAUUUGAAAGGGGCAAUUGCUCCACUACAAGAUGGACCUGCGUUGUAUUAGCUAGUAGGUGAGGUAACGGCUCACCUAGGCGACGAUACAUAGCCGACCUGAGAGGGUGAUCGGCCACCCUGGGACUGAGACACGGCCCAGACUCCUACGGGAGGCAGCAGUAGGGAAUCUUCGGCAAUGGGGGCAACCCUGACCGAGCAACGCCGCGUGAGUGAAGAAGGUUUUCGGAUCGUAAAGCUCUGUUGUAAGUCAAGAACGAGUGUGAGAGUGGAAAGUUCACACUGUGACGGUAGCUUACCAGAAAGGGACGGCUAACUACGUG
RNAcentral lists this ribosomal RNA (497 nucleotides) under uncultured bacterium. RNAcentral describes it as "partial 16S ribosomal RNA". It matches the Rfam family "Bacterial small subunit ribosomal RNA", at positions 28 to 507 of the family's 1533-position model. The record is from RNAcentral.